GGCCUCGGCACCCACGACAGGGGCGCCAAACCCCAGCAGCAGGCAGCCUGGCCUCCAGCUCCAGCUCCCAUAUCUCUGCUGUCAUGCAGGUCUUUGCAGCAGCAGACGGGGCGGAGGUGCGGGCAGAGGAAAGAACAAUUGACAAUGGCUCACCAGGGGAAAAAUAACAACUGCUGCACCUCUCUGCAAUCCUGCACAGAUACACGAACCUGGCUUGAGAUACCGUGAUUCUUAAACAUCGUUCCUGCAGAACACCGGUUUUCCAGAAGCCAAAGUAAAGAGGUUUCCCCCUCAACAUCAAAA
Long non-coding RNA from Orcinus orca (killer whale), 303 nucleotides. RefSeq lists it as uncharacterized. The transcript is spliced from 2 exons. NCBI's taxonomy places the organism in Eukaryota, Metazoa, Chordata, Mammalia, Artiodactyla, Delphinidae. The record is from RefSeq and is a predicted model, not a curated record.